UUCGCCCUUAGAGUUUGAUCCUGGCUCAGGACGAACGCUGGCGGCGUGCCUAACACAUGCAAGUCGAGCGGGGAUGAGGGAGCUUGCUUCCGAAUCCUAGCGGCGGACGGGUGAGUAACGCGUGAGCAACCUGCCUCAAACAGGGGGAUAACGCAUCGAAAGAUGUGCUAAUACCGCGUAAGACCACGGUACCGCAUGGUACAGGGGUCAAAGGAGCAAUCCGGUUUGAGAUGGGCUCGCGUCCGAUUAGCUAGUUGGAGAGAUAACAGCCCACCAAGGCGACGAUCGGUAGCCGACCUGAGAGGGUGAUCGGCCACAUUGGAGCUGAGAAACGGUCCAAACUCCUACGGGAGGCAGCAGUGGGGAAUAUUGGGCAAUGGGCGAAAGCCUGACCCAGCAACGCCGCGUGAGUGAAGAAGGCCUUCGGGUUGUAAAGCUCUGUCCUUGGUGACGAAGGAAGUGACGGUAGCCAAGGAGGAAGCCCCGGCUAACUACGUGCCAGCAGCCGCGGUAAUACGUAGGGGGCGAGCGUUGUCCGGAAUGACUGGGCGUAAAGGGCGUGUAGGCGGCCUGAUAAGUAUGAAGUGAAAGUCCUGCUUUCAAGGUGGGAAUUGCUUUGUAGACUGUCGGGCUUGAGUGCGGAAGAGGUAAGUGGAAUUCCCAGUGUAGCGGUGAAAUGCGUAGAGAUUGGGAGGAACACCAGUGGCGAAGGCGACUUACUGGGCCGUAACUGACGCUGAGGCGCGAAAGCGUGGGGAGCGAACAGGAUUAGAUACCCUGGUAGUCCACGCUGUAAACGAUGAAUGCUAGGUGUAGGGGGUAUCGACCCCUCCUGUGCCGGAGUAAACGCAAUAAGCAUUCCGCCUGGGGAGUACGGCCGCAAGGUUGAAACUCAAAGGAAUUGACGGGGGCCCGCACAAGCAGCGGAGCAUGUUGUUUAAUUCGAUGCAACGCGAAGAACCUUACCAGGUCUUGACAUCGAUCUAAGCCUCUAGAGAUAGAGGGUCCCUUCGGGGGAGAGAAGACAGGUGGUGCAUGGUUGUCGUCAGCUCGUGUCGUGAGAUGUUGGGUUAAGUCCCGCGACGAGCGCAACCCUUAUGAUCAGUUACUAACGGAUAAAGCCGAGGACUCUGAUAAGACUGCCGGGGACAACUCGGAGGAAGGUGGGGACGACGUCAAAUCAUCAUGCCCCUUAUGACCUGGGCUACAAACGUGCUACAAUGGUGACUACAAAGAGGAGCGAGCCUGUAAGGGUAAGCGGAUCUCAAAAAAGUCAUCUCAGUUCGGAUUGUGGGCUGCAACCCGCCCACAUGAAGUUGGAGUUGCUAGUAAUCGCGGAUCAGAAUGCCGCGGUGAAUACGUUCCCGGGCCUUGCACACACCGCCCGUCA
This 1390-nucleotide ribosomal RNA is filed under the name uncultured bacterium. RNAcentral's name for it is "16S ribosomal RNA". It matches the Rfam family "Bacterial small subunit ribosomal RNA". The record is from RNAcentral.